AUUUAAUUCACAUCACAUUAUAUAAAUAAGUAAAGAGCCAAAUCACAUUAUAAAUUGAAAUGAAAUAUAAAUCAUACUCAUAAAUAGAAAUGACAAUAAAUAAUAGCACCGACUCAAGUUUGGCCUGACAAUAGACAAGACGAUAAGUGAUAUCUAUAGAUAACUAAAAAGACCAUAUGUGUUGUUCUCAUGAUUGCAAUGUAUGAUUCUACAAACUAUCUUUCUAUCACAAAAGAUGGCCUUCAUUCACCAUCAGCUUUGGAUUAUUUGCUUGCUGAGUUGCUUCAGCCAAAUCACAUGCUCUGUCUUGAACUCCUCCCGGUGCCUAUAUAAAUUAAUGAAAUACAACAGUGUGUUACAUCUUAAUGAGAUGAAAACAUACAAGAUAACAAGGUAUAAGAAUGCCACUAAGAAGCUUACAAUCUAUGAAAUUAUGAACCUGAGUACAUUAUUAGCUAGAUUUGCGGCAUGAAGAUGGGGCGAUAAAACAAUAAAUUUGUUUGGCAGAACAAGAAGACACAAACUGGUAUAAAAAGUUGUCGGUCAAAAUAAUUUACAUGGAUCCCCACUGCACUUUUAAGUAUUGUGCUACUUAACAUAUUUCAUAAUUAGCUGCAUAAGUAUAGUUGUUUGAUGCUUUGGUUAAUACACAAGUUUAGAUCAACACAUCAUAAAAAAACCAUAAAAAACAGAUCAGUAAUGUACUUAGCAAAGCAAACACAAAAAUGUUUUUAGUAAGGAGUGGCAUCCAUUCAAUAUUGAACAAUCUCAGAAUGAUUUAAUAUCUAAACUCUAAAGGUCGCCACCAGACCAUCGCAGGCCACCUUAUUCCUAUUAAGUCUGUGUUUUCUCAUAUCUGAAUUGAUUUAGACAUGCUACGAAUUUGGCCGUUCAUCACCUUAGAUGCAACUAAGUGCCAUAAGCAACUAGUACUAGUACAGUAGACUACAGUAUUUGAAUCUGUUGUGUGCUUGCUCAUCUUCUCCAGCAGCUACAGCUACUUGUGUACUUGCACUACAGUUGUACGAUGCUUGAUGCUUCCUCAUUCUAAAUACAACAAAUAAAAAUACAAAUUAUGGGCAAAGGACAAUGAGCUUAAAUGUUAAGCAUACACAACCAGGUAAGGAAUUGUCAAGUACUGGACUGUAAAACAAUAGGAAGUGGAGAAGCAAGUAGUAAAAAGAUUAAGCUUCAGACUGUACCAACAUUGCAAGGCUGAUAAGAUUAUCUUGAUAUUGCAAACUUAACCUACUACCUACAGUGAGCAGUCAAUUAAUAUUUAAUGCACCUGCAUUAUAGUGGAAUAAAACAGAAGAGAAACAAUAUACUGACAAGCGAUCGCAUGGAGAAAAAAUAUUACAGAAUUAACAUAAUAACUUUCUCUUUCACCGAGCAGUAUUAGCAUCUGAAUAAACCUUUUAAUAUACAGAUUUUACAGUACCUAGCAACUAAGAAGACAUGGUAUGGCCCAUGAUAGGAGCCCUCAACAUAUGUUUAACUUAUUAACUAUUAUCAUAGAAUAUUAAUUUCUUGUGCAUAUAGCUUCUAAUAAAAGGCUAUUCCUAAUACAGUUUCAUUGUUAAUACUCUGGACACAGAGUGUAGUCACACAUUAGAUGUUCUUGAGCAUGCUGGAGAUUGAAUGAUCUUGCAGCAUAAAAGGGAAACCUGCGUUGAAAUUAUUCAUCGUAGAAAUUUAGAGAAAGGCAGGGCCAUAGAAGUAUAAACCAAUAAGAAUGACAUUGAUCUUACAUUCUUACUCCUCAUCUAGAUUAACUGCAACCAGGGAGAGGUGAUCUGAAGUAGGUCGUUAGAAGAAUCAAAUUCCAGAUCACAAAUGUUACAUCAGGAAAUUAUAGAAGAAAAAAAGUAAGCAGCGAAAUUUUACCAUCAAAUAGUUGGAAGGGGACCAGAUCUGAUGGUGCUACACGCGGGUUCCUUGAAGAGUUUCCAACUCAUCCCCUGGCCUCUUUGCAUCGUCGGGUUGCCUCUCCCAAACCUGAUCUCUCCACCACCGCUGUCUUGUUGGUUCGUCAGACGAAGCUGAUCUUCAAGUAGUUGAUGGUGGCGGGAGGGUGAGGCAGCGGCCGGAUCAUGGUGAGGCACGAGGUGAGAAACGAAGCUGGGCAAGGCGCCGGAGAUGGAGAGAGCGAUGGUCUUGAGCCAUCCAAGAAGUGGCGGUGGAGGUUGCAUGGAGGUCGAACCAGACGGCAAAUGUCGCAGGCUGGUGUCGGUGUAGUGGUGCCUGGGGACGUGGCAUCGAACAGAGAGAGGGUGGCGCGGCGGACCAGAGGGCAGAGGAGGGGAGGGAUUUUGGGUGGCGCUGCUGGCGGCGACUGACUUGGAGGCGCCGCCGGUGAGAGGAGAUCCGAGUCAGGUGG
This 2380-nucleotide long non-coding RNA is filed under the name Triticum aestivum (bread wheat). RNAcentral's name for it is "long non-coding RNA (TAES_LNC025905)". Lineage: Eukaryota; Viridiplantae; Streptophyta; Magnoliopsida; Poales; Poaceae. The record is from RNAcentral.